Molecule: long non-coding RNA, 16086 nt
Filed under: Manihot esculenta (cassava)
Lineage: Eukaryota; Viridiplantae; Streptophyta; Magnoliopsida; Malpighiales; Euphorbiaceae
Description: long non-coding RNA (MESC_LNC008979)
Source: RNAcentral
UUGUUUUUUCUUUUUCUGAAAAUUGUUAUUGAUAAUGUAAAAUAAAAACAGAUGGGUCUCCCAAGAUAGCCAAGGAGAUAAUUGAAGCAAUAGAUGAUGUGAACUUAUCAACCACCUUCAAAGUGGUAGAAGGAGAUCUUCUGAAUGAUUACAAGAACUUCAAACUCAUCGUUCAAGCUACACCAAAGGAGAACGGAAGCUUGGUGCACUGGACCUUGGAAUAUGAAAAGAUUCAUGAGAAUACUCAAGAUCCCCAUUCAUUGCUGGAGUUUGUUGUUCAUUGCAGCAAGGAUAUUUCUGCUCACCUUAUCCAAGUCCAGGGGAACUGAUGGAUCUUCAGCUAUAUAUGCUCUGAUAAUACCUGUGAUGUUUAUAAUAAAUAAAGGGAUGUUUAGCACAAGGUGAGCUUGUUUAUCUUUACGUGUGAAUCUGUACCUGCUUCAUAUAUACUAAAUCUUAAAGCUAAGUGGGUCUGUUAAUGAUAAUAUCUAGCUUCGAUCAAUAUAAGAUAAUGUAUUACUGAUGAAUUUAUGAAAUAAUCGGAUGUGAUUACUAUUUAUAAAUCACCAUCUUUUGCUUCCUGUUAUUAUAUGUAUUAGAAAUUUAAACUUAUUUCUCCAAGAAUGCAACUACAGUAGCAUAGACAAAAUAUUCCCUUCAUCAUAAUCUUUCAAGACUCAUCUUCCUGUGAGGAGGUGGUGUUUUUUGACUCGAUUAGUGAAUCAAAUCUAUUUAAAAAAUUUUCCUUAGCGACGAUGCAAAUACAAUCAUUUUCCCUGUUAUGUGGCUAAGAAGAAAGGAAAUUUGGAGGCAACUGCUGCAGUUUUAGUCAGGAAUUAUCUAGGCAAUACUGAGGAUGGAAUUUCCAGAAAAUUGUUUUGUAUAUAUUUCUCCUUUAACAUAUGAAGCAAAUGCUACGUGACUUGCUAUUCAACCAACUAAAGCAUGGCAGUUUCACAUUCAAAAUUGAUUCUGCUGUUGUAUAUAAUAUUGUUUACAAUAUAUUAUUUAUAAUAUAAUUGUGAAAAAUUAGAGUUUAAAUAACGAAUACUCUUUUUUUUUAAUCAAAAAUAACGAAUACUUUUAAUAUUUGCUGUUUCAUUUUGGUUUAUUCCUCAUUAAAUAUAAAUACUGUUACAAAUAUAAUUGUUAAGAUUUAUUUGAGGAAUUUAUUACCGCAAGAUUCAUAACAAUAUCAGUUGGCAAAUUUACUUUUUUUUUUUUUAUUAUUAUUAUUGUAAUGAAAUUUUGCUAUGAGUGCACCCAUAUAAUAUAAAGAAAAAAAUUAUUAUUUAGUUCAGUGAGUUUUCUCAAACCACAUAGAUUAAGUAGUAAUUUUUUUUAAUAUAAAUUUUAAUUUACAGAUAAAAAAUAUAUAUAUAUACUUAAUAAUCUUGAUAUGAUCAUGUCAGUUUUUAGUUGCAUACUCUUAAAUUUUAUAGCUCGAUUCUUAGUGGGUAAUAUUCUGUUGAUAAAUAUAUUUACGAUGUAAAAGAAAGAAGUAAACUAUCAAAUUACAAAAAAUUUCUGUAUCUUUUCUUUCUGAAAAUUCAUACAUGCAUCUGCAUUAAUAUGGACAUUCAAUUAGUUAAAAAUUAGAAUAUUAUAUUAAUACUUGGAUUUUAUUAUAUUUUUAAUAAUAUUUUUUUAAUUUAAAAUAUUGCCCUUGAGGAAUAGAACGUUCUUCUAAUUUAUAACAAGGUGAUCCCGAAAUAAUUUGGGAGACAAAAUAGCAAGGAAGCCCAAAAAAAAAGGGCCUUUUGUUUGUUCUUCUUUAAAUCCAGCAGAUGUAGCUUGAACAAGUAGGAAAAUAAAGUUUAAGAUUUUACCUUGGAUAUGAUGUCAAUUUUUCUUUAAAUCGGGCUAAAUUUAAAAAAAAUAUUAAAAAUCAAGAGUUUAGAAAAAAAUAUUUUCGAGUCAAAAAUGAAUUAAAAUUUUUUUCAAAUGUCAUACUAUGAAUGAAGCAUAUUUAAUAAUAUGAGUGUCAAAUAUGCCAAACUUAUUUGAUAUUCAUAAUAUCAAAGAAUUCAUCAACAGCAGAGGAUGAGUCUAUCAGAAGCACAACAUGGUGUAACGGCUUAUGCAAUACUCAUAGUAUUUAACAAGUUGCACAGUUAUGUGAAUGAUUCAUUGUGUCAAUUAGAUGGAUUAUAAAGAUGCAAUAGAGGUGGAAUGGCUCUUUCCAAUCAUUCCUUUAUAUAUUUUUACCAAUUUUAUCACAUGUUUAUAUUUGAAAUAUGAAUAAUACACUAAAAAUCUAAAUAAUCGAUGAAUUUGUCGCCUUACAUAAGUGUUUGUGUAACUAUACAUGACAUAAUUCACUUUAAUUAUAAUUUUUUAUUUUAUUUAAAUCAUUUAAUAGUGAUAAAAAUAUAAAUUUAUAUGAAAAACAGAUGUAUUGCUAAACCAUAAUAAAUAUUUUACCAAUAAACUAAAUCAUAAUUAUUAAAGUUUUUAUUAUUAAACUAAAUCAUAACUAUUAAUUUUUUUAUAUUUAAAUUACAAUAAAUAUUUGAUUACUCCACCAAAUUACAAUUAUUGAAUUUUUUUACUUAAAUCGCAAUAAAUAUUUAUUAUUACGCUAAAUCACUUAUAUAAAGAAAAAUUAUACGAAAGUGAUUUAAAAAAAAUAUUUUAGAUUAAAAAUAUUAAAAAUGAAAAUAAAAAUAAAACCACCUAACUACUUCAUAUUUAUACACAUGUAAAAAUAAAAUAAAUACAAAUAAACAUACAUUUAAAAUAAAAAUAAACAACAUAAAUAUAUUUCUACAUAUCUAAAAAAUAAAAAUGAAAAUAUUUUUAUUUUAAAAUGUACAUCUUAAAAUUAAAAUAGAAAUAAAAUAUAUAUGGACGUAGCUGAGAAUGACAAAAGAAUGAAAGAAGCAAAGAAAUUUAUAAGAUGAGAAAAUUCAAAGAAGAAAAAGAAGAUAAAUGUGAGUAGCAAAAUGUUAAUUUUUUAGCUUUUAAAGCGAAAGAUGUAUAGGUAUAGACGAUGCUUGCAUGCGACGUCGUAGGCAUAGCUCUUUUCGACACAAGCUGUCGAACUCAGCCUAGCUAUAAUUGACCCAUCAAUUUUGGUAUAGUUAGCAUCAAGUUAAUGCAAAAUAAAACAAAAUAAUUAAUUUAGAAGAUAUUCAAAUAGUGUAAAAUAAAUUUUAAUAGAUUUAAAUUAAAUUUAUAUAUUAAUAAUAUUAAUUAAGUUUGGAUUGAAAGAUAAUAAUUAUUAUUUUUUUUUUAAUAUUUUGAUCAUUUAUGUCCGCGCGACGCGUUUACAUCAUGUGUUUAGUAAUUAAUUAAUGGUUUAGGUGGGAUUUUAUAAUUAUUAAUUAAUUUCGGCAAGCGAAGAGAUUAAGGGAAAGGCAUCAAUUAUUGUUUUCUUGCAUUUAUUAUAUUAUAAUAUAUCAGAUUUGGCAAAUCUCACUGCUCCUUGACAGCCUUGCAUCACAUCCCUCUACAUUUUUUUACAUUUAUAUUGUUUAUUUUGCCUAACUAAAUUAAUUUAUAAGUGAAUCUUAUUUUUUUACUUUAGAGAUAAUUAAUUAUAAUUAAUUGAGUAACGUUUAAUCUAUUCUUAGCAAUAAUGUUUUUAAAAAAGUUAACUUAUGGCAUUAAUUUCUUUUUUUUUUUAAAUAUGAUAAUUCAUUGUAUAUGAUUAAGGCAUCAGUCUUCAAUUUUGGGCUCUGUUGAGAUCCCUUCAUUCUAGCAAGAAUUAAACUGAGGAUUUGUUUCUCAAACCUUCAACUCCUUAGUUAUUAAAUUUAGUAAGAAUUUGUCAGUUUUCUUAUUUUUCACGCAAUUGUGGAGGAUGUCUAAAAUAAUGGGAAAGUCUUAUGUGAUAAAUUAAAAAGGAUCAUGAUGAUUGAUGCCACAUUGGCUCAAGUUGAGCAAUAUUCAAAUGAUUCAAUCAUCACAUUUAUUUUUAUUGAUUUUGGAGUCAAAUUAACUCUCCAAAUUAUAGUCUUUUUCCUCCAUUAAUUUUCUUUCAACUAGAUAUUUUCUUUUUUAACAAAGAACAUAAAUUAUGUUUUCAUUUUUGAAAUAAAUAAUAAUUAAAAAAUAUAUUUAUUUUAAUAUUUAUCCUUUCUACUUAUUUAUAUUCUUCACAAACUUUUUUUUUCAAUAUUUUCUGACACUCCUCUCCUAUUUUCCUUACACGUUUUCACAUGUUUCUCCUAUUUUCCUUGCAUGUUCUUACUCGUCUCUCCAACUUCCCUGGCACGUUUUACUCAUUUCUUGAAAAAUGGAAUGAUCACUCAGCCAUAGCAUCAAAAAUAGAUUUUCUUAUCAAUCUUGCCACAACAACAACAACCUGGUUAGACAUGUCCUUCAGGGUAUUUUUGGACGUAGUCAAAGUCAGAGUGUAAAUGAAGUUGAUAAUGAAGAUGAGUUAAGUUAUGAUCCAUAUGAAGAUAGAGAUAGAGCAUAUAUAUUAUAGAAGAUUCUAAUGAAAUUGAAUACGAAGAGUUAUCUAAGGUAGGUGAAGUUAUUAAUAGCAAUAACAACUGUGAUGAAAUUGAGCUAGCAGAUGAAAUUGAGCUAGUAGAAAUUAAUGAUGCUCCAAGUGUUGGUAUGUAUUAUACUAGUAUUGAUAUUUUAUUUAAUGCCUAUCUCGCUUAUGCUAAGGAGAAAGGAUUUAUUGUGGCUAAAAAUUCUGCUUCCAAUGAUAAUUAGUGAAAAGAAUUCAAAAGAAUGAUGAAAAUGAAUAUAAAGAUGAGAUGAAAUGUCUUUUUAUAUAAAUGUCGGAUGUUCUUACAAAAGUGAAGAUAAAGUUUAAAUCAUCUUUUAAGAACAUAUGGAAAUAUUGAUAUUCUUAAAUUUAAAAAGGUAUUUUCGAUAAAUAUAGGAAAAAACAUAUAGAAAAAAAUAAUUUUAUAGUAGGAAUUGGCGUGUAAAAAAAAUGAAAAUUAAAAAGAUUUCAAGAUAAUAGGAAGCAGAGGUGGGUAUUCUUGCGUCUAAAAAAAAAUUUAAUAAAAAAGAACCAAUCGUAUAGAAAUAUGAAAUGAAGAGAACACUUGACAAUAAACUUAUAAUAAAUUGAAAGAUAUAAAUAGUUGAUAUAUUUACAGAAAAUAAAAAAUAAAAUUUUAUUUUGAAAAUUGAAAUAUUUAAUGAAUGAGAGAGAAUUUGAAAUUCGAUUUCAAAUUUCAAAUUUCAAAUUCUAAACAUUGUUUUAGAAAAAAUAAAAAUACAUUAUGAAAUUACUUGAAUAAUAAGCUAUCAAACUUUUUCCAAAUUAAAAAUAAAAAAAUUCCGAAAAUGAUAGGAAAGAAACAAGAUAAGCUAAAAUCACAAAUAAAACGUAUACUUCUAUAUAAGGACAAAGGACUGAGCUUUAGUCAGCACUAAGUCCUUGAAAUUUGAUCUUAUUACUUUCUUUUUCAGGAAAACAAAAUGACCCUUUCCGGGAAAUUGGAAGCUGAUAUAGAGGUGAAUGUUCCUGCAGACUAUUUUCAUGAUGUCUAUAGUUGCAGACCACACCAUGUAUCUACUACCAGCACUGAAAUGAUUCAAGGUGUUGAUCUCCAUGACGGUGAAUGGGGAAAAGUGGGCACUGUUAUCUGCUGGAAUUAUACUCUUGGUAAGCCUGUAUUAUUUUUCUUUCUUUCUCAUUGAAAUUUCUUUUGGGUUUUCUUUUGCUUGUUUACUGAUAUUGCAACCAAAAAAACAGAUGGAUCUCCCAAGAUAGCCAAGGAGAUAAUUGAAAUUAUAGAUGAUGUGAACUUAUCAACCACCUGUAAAGUGAUAGGAGGAGAUCUUCUCAACGAUUACAACAGCUUUAAAUUCAUUGUUCAAGCUACACCAAAGGGGAACGGAAGCUUGGUGCACUGGACUUUGGAAUAUGAGAAGAUCCAUGAUAAUACUCCAGAUCCCAAUACAUUGAUGGACCUUCUUGUUAAUUGCAGCAAGGAUAUUGCUUCUCACUAUGCGCAAUCCCAUGAGAACUGAUGGAUCUUCAGCUAUAUAUGCUCUGGUCUAUGUGAUGUUUAUAAUAAAUAAGGCUUAUGUAAUGAAGCACCAGUUCAGUUUGUUCAUCUUUAAAGCUACGUGGGUUUGUUAAUGAUAAUAUGUAUGUAGCUUCGAUCAGUAUCAGAUAAUGUAUUACCGAUGAAUUUAUGAAAUAAUGGGAUGUGAUGAUUACUAUUUAUGUAUCACCAUCUUCGAUUCUUGUCAUCAUAUGUAUCAGUAACGUAAAGUUAUAUCUCCAAGCACUUGUUGUUUAGGACAGGCAAAGCAACCACAAUUGUUAUGAGAAUGAUAUAAUCUAGGAAGCUUAUGUGCAGGCGAGUCUCCUCAUCCAUGCUGCAACCUCACCCAGCCCAGCCAUCUCGGCAUGGCGACCCAUCACCCACCCGGGACCAUUCUCCAUUCCCACCCAAUCGCCGAGCCCAUAGCCGUGAGAUAAUGGAAGGUUUCUUGAGCAACGAUGCUCUUUGGUUAAAGAAUUGGUUUCUGAAGUUAAGCCACAUGACUCUAUCUUUGCGCAGAACAAAAGGCUGGCUUGGUGAUCAGAUUGCAUAUUCCUCUUCAUAUAAAAGAUGGAUGAGUUUAUUACGUUAGAUCUAGUAACUUCUAAUAAAAUGAGUAUGGAUGUUGCUAGUCUUAAGUUUCAAUGGAUCAUCUGGAGAAUUUUAACAAAAUUUUUGCUGUGGAGGUUGGUUCUUUUCGUUUCCACAUCUCAGUUACAGAAGAAACUGGUGCCCUUUUUUUGUGCGUUAACAACAAUUAUUCUAUGGAUAGCAAACGUCUUCUUGUUCUUCGGUGGAGGACUCUCAAGAUUGUUGUAGUAGUACUUUUGGUGAUGAUGUUCAGAAAACUUGUGCUGCCGCUACUUCGAAAUAAGAAGAAAAUCUGAAUAAUUUUUCUGUCAGUAACUCUGCAGCUCAUGGUGACGCCUCAGUUGCCAUUUCUCCUCGUGAAAUGGUUAGCUCUCCAGUUGUUUCUGUGGGAAGAUCUUUGGAAUGUGGUUCUCCCAUCAAGAUCUAAUGAAGGUGACGAGGCUCAGGAAGAUGAAGAUUGUGAGCCCAUUAGUGAUAAUGAUGAAUCCAGCCCAAGUACUUACAGUAAUCUGCCUUUGGCUUCCUAUAGCUAAUAGACUUCACAAAUAAAGAAGCAAGGGCCGAUCCUUUGUUGAAUUGAGUGAUCUAUAUCCUAAAAUUGGAAAGGGGGAAAGAAAAAAAGCAUGUAAUAUGAUUUUGGGGGGUGUCUUCUCAGUGGAUUGUGUUCAUCUAUGACGGGAUGUGUCUUCGAGUGGUUGGUUCUAUUGAUUAUCUUCUACGAAACGAUGCGUCUCUGAGCUUGUCGGUGGAUUUUUUUUUUUUUAAAAUUUUUCAAGUGGAGAGUUAUGAUAAGUUGGAUUUCACAGCUGUUGCUCUUAUUCUUCUUCUCACUCUUUGUCUUUGCCAUAGUACAAAGGAAAGCUCAGAUGGAACCUUAAUAGGACAGUUUUCUUCCAUGUGAUUUUCUUUGGAUUUAUCAUAAUUUCUGGCAUCUGUGAUGGGAAUGCAAAGAACUUGGUUAAGCCAGGAGGGCUUGCUUCUUUUGGUGUCAAAGGUGUUAUUAAUUGGGAUGUGAUCCCUCAGUCUAUUAAUGAACUAUCAUUCCAGAAAUUGUGAAAAAUGUUCCCUUAAAAAUAUUAUUAAUUGUCAUUGCUUCCGCUCAUAUUUUCUGGAGAUAGGAUAUUAUGCACUAUCUCCAUAAAAGAAGUUGAUUGUGAAUUAUUAAUAAGUCUGCCUUAUGUCUGAGCGGUUAAUGAGAACAGACUGAAAGGUAAUUAUUAUUUUUUUUUUUUUUUGCUUUAAAUGGCUUUCCCCUACCCUACUCUUCAGAACCUAUCUGAUCAUUUCUUGAAAACCAUAAACAAAGAUUUUGAAAGGAUAUUGAACAAGCAAAUGGUGAGGCAAUGAGCACAGAGGAAGCAAUUACUACCCUUAAAAUCAUACGAAUCACCCACCAAUUAUCAACAAGUUUGAAACACGGGUGAGCUGAAAUAUGCAAACAAGUGAGCAAAUAAUUCUUUCAUUUAUCACUCAAAAUUCUUCCUGCUUGAUCUGUUUGAAACAUUAGCAAGGCUUUUUCAGAUCUCAAUUUUUGACGUUUUUAUCUGGUUUUUAAUGAAUUUGAAUUGGUCUUUUUUGGGUAUUUUGGUGCUACUGUAUUCUUUUUUACUUCAUUGUACUAGGUUCUCACGGCCUCUUCGCUCGGCAUACUGAUGAAUAGGUACGCGUAUAUGGAGAUUCUUGGAUAUAAUUCUAUCAUAUCCGUGCUAAGUUCUUUUUUUUUUUCUGAAUUAUUAUUAUAAAAUUCUCUUUAUAAAAAAUAAAAAAAUAUAUAUUAUCUCUCCAAGCUAAAGUAACAUAAAAAAAUGUUUGCCAAAACUCAUCUUCCCAUGAGAAAAUUUUUUUUUUUUUUUUUCAAUUGAAAUCAACUAAAAUUUGAAUCCAAAACCUUUUAACAUUUAAUUCAAUAAUUUUUGAAUUGUUUUAGAAAAUUGACGAUGACAUCUCCAUAUAAAUAUAUGUUCCACUAGUACGAGAACCCUACUUCAAUUACAAGAUCAAUUCUUAUUUACACCAGUACAUAAUAAAUUCAAGAUAUAAAUAAAUAAAUAAAUAUCAUUUAAUUUUUGUAUUAAUUCCAUUAUAUUAUUAUACUAUAAAGUUUAAUUUUCUCCCUAUUAGCAUAUUACUUCCCUAUCCACGUACAAUUUGGGAUAUGCAUCCAAUUCGUAGGGAGCGACCUCGAGGGAGUCAAUAUUUUCUUUCUCAAUGCAUAAUUUUUCUUGAGACCAAUAUAGCAAUAAAAUAGAAAUAUAUACUAAAUAAAUAUAAUAUAAAAUAUCAUAAAUCGAUUAAAAAUAUAACAAAGUUCUAUUAUAAGCAUUACAAAUUAUGGUAAAAGACAGAACAGCAAGAAUAAAAAACUUUUAUUUAUUUAUUUAUUUAUCUUCAAACAAAGCAGAUGUAACAUGAAUAAGUAGGAAAUUAAGUUUUAAGAUUUUUAAGUUGGAUAUAAUGCCAGCUCAUGAGUGCUUUUUACCUAUCGUGAAAGUCUCUCCUUUAAUGUAUUGCGGGCUUCCUGAAUCUGUUUAAAAAAAUAAAAAGGAAAAUAAAUACUUCUUUAGUAAAGAAAGCAGAUUUUUUAUUUUAUCCCUCUUUCAUAAAAUAAGGGCUCUAUCCCUCUUUUUCUAAAAAAAAAAAAGAAAGCAGAUUUUUUAUUUUAUCAAAUUAGAACAAAUUGAGCUCAAUUUUUUACAUAAAAAAUAUUUUUCAUAUUUUCUGAUAUUUAACGCUCAACGAAAAAUAUUUUUUUAAUUAAAAAAAAUUUUAAGUCAUUUUAAGGAAAACGACUCUUUUUUAAAAAAAAAAAAAAUCAUUUUCUAUAUUUUGAAGAUGUUAUUAAAAUUCCUCAAUAAUGUAUUUUAUUUUUAAAUUAAAAUUAAAAAAUAAAAUAAUAAAUUAUUUUAUUAAAAAAUAUUGUUCAAAUAUAAAUUAUUUUUUACAAAUAACGGAGAUUAAGUCACAUGUUAAGCAAGAUCAUGAAGAUUGAACCUGUACAUGCAUCACAAAAUAUGAUCAAUGUUUUCUGCUGGUACCUUCAUUUUCCAAUCCCUUGCAACCUGGAAUAUGAACCCACUUAAGACGAAGUUCCACUUCACCACUCUCUACAUUCCUCAAUCUAAUAAGCAUGUCUUGGGUGAUUUCACCAUUGUUCCAAACAAUGCUGCUCUCGUCAGCAAGGCAGUUGCUCAUGGUUGGCGGAACUCGCUUGAGUGCACAGCCAUUUGGGAGCUUUUGGAACCCCAUCUUGAGACUCGCUAUAUACGGUCUGAUGUCAAUUUCUGCGUCGCCCAUCUUGUCAUCCCCCGUGAAUGUGUCCUUAUCAUAAACUUCCUGCAAAAAAAUUAAAAAUUUAUUGGAUUUAGCCAAUUUGAGAAAUCCACAAGUUAUACAGUGUAGUUUAACAGAGAAUUAAUGGUGAAGAUAUAACUAAUGAAACGAUACAGAUGGCGUGUUAAAGAGAGUAUUUCUUUGAGGCUGCACGAAUAUCACCUAAGAACAGAGCUAAGGUAGCAGCCUUGCAUUUAGUAAGGCAGAGUAUCCACUUGCAUCAAGGAUAUAUAUGCGACGACCAAAGGAGCAAAUGCAUAUGUUGAUUGGAUGAGUAUGCAAGAUCUUUAGGAGCCUCAUUCGGAAGACAUGCUUAUGACGGUCCUUUAGUAGGUUUCUGGUAUUUAAAAUUGAAUAGAUUCGUUGCAAGACUACCUUAAUGCAUUUAAUGAACUAUACCUCAAGUUAGGUAUCAAUGAAGAACAAUCCUUGAGUUUCUUUUUGUUUGGCCUUAGUGAUGAACUGCAAAUGCCUGAAUGUUCAAAUCUAAGAGCUUAGCUGAAGCCUAUUCACUAGCUAAAUUGUAGGAAUUAACAGUGACUACAAUUCAGCAAAACCUGAAUUAAACAUAUUCUCCUUCACAAUUCCAUCCAAUAAUAACUACCAAAAACCACUUAGCAUCACCAUCACAACUCUUGUACUAAAUAAACAACCCUCCAUGCUAAAGACUCAACCCAAAGUUCACACAAACACCAUAAAAUGUCCCUAGUAACACCUAUAAGAACCCAAGCCUUUACUUACCAGCAAAAAAACGAAUGAGAAAAGGGCUCACAACUUGUGCUUCUAGUGUGAUGAGAAGUAUGUUCCGGGGCACACGCUUAAAAACGGACAAUUAUGUAUACUACAAAUCAAGGAAUUAAUUGAAGAGAAGUUAGAACCUACAGUAAAGGUAAUAGAAGAUUUGGAAGAGAGUAUGUCGGAAUGGCAAUUGCUCAAUGCAAUGUGGAGCUUAGGUUCUAAUCAAACCAUGGUUAUAAAGGAUAACUGUGGAAAAAGUAGAUUAUAUGUAUUAAUAGAAAUUGGCAGUACCCAUAAUUCCAUUAAUGAGGAAACAGAAAGGAAGCUUAAUUGUCCAAUGCAAGAAGCAGCUGGCAUAUGAAUAGAGGUAGCAAAUGGUCAAGAGCUGAAAUACCAGUCAAUGUGUAAAAACUUUGUAUAGACUAUGCAAAAACAAGAAUUUUAAGGCAGAAGUGCAUCUAUUACUAUCUUUUGAGAAGCUAUGAUCUUAUUCUGAAUAUCCAAUGGCUCAGAACAUUCAGUAAAAUUGAGUAGAACUUUGAAUCCCUAAUAUGGAGUUUACUUUGGAAGGCAAGCAUUGCGCUUUGCAUGGGGAGCAGAUUCAUUCUCAGGACCAUGAACUUAAUGUUUGAACUGUGAAACAGGUGGGAGGGUAUGAUGAAGGAAAUGUGGGACUAUACAGGAAGCCAACAACAUUUCGGUUGAAUGUAACUCGUAGGGUGGCAAUUCGUGUUGGCAGAUUAUAUUCGUGUCGACAUGAAGACAGAAUGAUAAAUGAAUCGUGUAAAAAAACCUAAACACUAACACAACCCUUUUAUUAACUACACAAUAUACUAUUAAUUUAAAUCGUAUUAAAUGACAACACAACAUGAUCUAACACACACAAUUUCACAUGAAUAAACCCAUUUAACACAAUUUAAUGUGAUCCAAUAUUAACUAUUUGACAUGUUUUAAUAUGAUUCAAUAUAUUUAAUAUUUAUAAAAUAAUAUAUCACAUGAGAAUUGCAUAUUAAGUUUAAACAUGCAAAAAGUUGGUAAUAUAUAAAAAUAUAAAUCUUAAUUAUUUAACAUUAAAGAAAUAAUUGAUAUUUCAUAUUUAAUUAAUUAAUUAAUAUUUUAACAAACUGAAAUUUAUAAAACAAUGUUCAACUUAUUAUAUAAAUAAAUAAAUAAAUAUUAAUAAAUAAAAAGGAAACGAAUUACAAAAAAUAAUAAUAUAAUACAAUAUGUAACUAGAUUCAUAUUUGAUAAUAUGUCCUUUUUUAAUAAUGUAAUUAUGGGUCACAAUUGAACCAAUGGUUAGGUUCAAUUAGGAAAAUGCACAAGACACCAAAUUAUAAUUGGAAAAUUAUUGAGGUCUAACAUUAUGUUUUUUUUAGCUGAGUUGAGCAAGAAAAUGGAUAGUCUUUCUGGAUUUUAUAAAGAAAAUAAUGAAUAAUGCAGGGGAAUGACUCACUAAUUUUAUUGGAGCAUGGAUAUCUGUGAUGGUAAGAGUUAAAUCUUCAUUCCAUUGAGGAUUACAGUUUCUUUUCACCACUCUAGUCUUCAGUUUCUGCAUCAAUUCACAGUACAUCAGAAAAUAAAAUACGAAGAAAAACAGCUAAUUAGCAAAACAACAGGCUGCAGAGCCAAUACUUAAUCUAUCAUAUUACAAUUUUUAAUUAUGAAUCAGCUUCAUGCAUUCACAUUAAAGAUGAAACAGAGACCCAUUUCCCUCUUUUUCAAAUGAGUGCAGCUCCUGUAAAUUUGUUUUUUCGUAGAAGAACAAGAUCAUAUAAGGAAAAUUAAGAUAUACAACUAACUAAUAAACUGCAACCUUUUCAAAUUCGAACCAACAAACAUUAAAUCAGCAAAAAUCAAGAAUAUGUAGAUUUUCAGACUCGGACAUUGUAGGAUUUUAAAAUUUAAAAACAUAAUAGAGAUUGUUUUCACUUCUCAGUCAAUCGCCAAAAACAAUUUCUCCCAAUCGGUAAUUAAAUAAAUGACUACAGAAAAUAGGUAAAUGAUGGCAAAUUUCUUCUGAAAAGAAAGGCCACGCAGAGGGAAACAUGAUUCAAAGGCUCAAAACAUUUGUAUUAUCUUAAAUCAGCCAAAGGAAAUGAAGAUGAAAUGAUUGAAUGGCAUAUAACGCUGGUAAAAAUCUGGCAAAAUAUAAACGUAGAAGAAAAGAAAAGAAAAGUAGGAGGAUGCCUGGCGUCCCGAGGUGAUGAUGACAUAAGGAUCGCUGCUUCCAAUAUCACGAACUGCAAGAUUUAUGCCUCUUCGCACCCCAAUUAUGAGAAGACCAAGAACGUUCUCCAUUCUCAAAAACGCAGGUCCCACCCUCCACAGAAGUCUCCAACACCAAUAUUAUUGUAUUUAUACAUCGGCAAAAAAGAAAAGAAAAAACAAAAUGAAAAAUCAUUGGCCAAUAAUAGCAUACAUUUGUGGACCCCAGCAGCCCUUUGGAAAGUUUAGUUUAUUGCAACGUGCAUGAGAACGCUGCCCGCAGCUGAGCUCGCUCUAUUCCCCUUUCAAAAUUUCAACGUUAUCAAGAAUCUAAUUUGAGAAUUGGGCACUCUUAAAUUGUGGGAGAUUAAAUUUGGACAACAGACAUGAUUUAUUUUAUAAAAAAAAAAAUAAACAAAAUAAUAUAUAAUUUCAUUUCAACCUCUUUUAAAAAUAAAUUUUUUAAAUAAAACAAUUAUUAAAAAAUAAUUGUAUAUGAAUUUGAAUUAGUUGACCAAUAUAUUUCGAUUGACGACAGAAAAAUUCUAUACGGAAUACUAUUAGAGCCCAUUUUGUGGUGGGUGCGAGGCUGCUAUUCUUCAUUCAUCCCCAGCCAAGCCUUUAUUGCACCAAGCUCAUGUGCUUCUGGGCUAGGCUUAUUUAUUGGACUAAGCUGCUUAAAUACUAAUCUUAUAUAUAUAUAUAAGAUCUUCAUUUUGUUUGACUUGUUAAAAUUGUGUUUUUUAUGUGUUUUCUUUUAUUAGUUCACAGAUUUGGUGGUGUGUUCUAUCUCAUGUAGGAGAUUUCUAUCUUCUCCAUUUGGUAGUAUGUGGAGCUUGUUUUAUAACAUAUAUCUAUUUUUCUUAAUAAUUAUAUUCAAUUGAAAUUUGAAUAUGAGUGGUGAAAGCUCUAGGAGCAGAGUAAUAGGCCUCAAAAGAAACUAUUUACAUCAAUGGGAGUAUGGGCAGGAAUCUUGGAGGAUAAAUGAGCAUAGAAAUUAAGAAAAUUUUAAACAUUUUAUCAAUAAUAAGUCAUCAAUAUUUUUUUGAUAAAUGAAACCUGCCCUUAUUUAUAUAUAAAUACAUUUUGAGAGUAGGCUUCCCUUGGAAAUAAAUGUUAGAUGAGGAUAAGAAUGAAGAAUUUAUUAUAGGGUUUAGAGGGAAAAGAUGGGAAGGAAUGGAUCACUUUGGCUAUAAGAUAUUGGCGCAACCAGAUGUCCUUUUAAUGACCGUACGUAUCGUCCCUCCAUCGGACCCUAACUUUGCUUAUCUGUCGCCAACCCUUCUCUCUCUUUUUUUUACUUUUUUUAUUUUUUUUUUCCUCAAAAAAAACAAAAAAAGUGGUUGGUGACAGAUUGUUGAAUCAAUUUUUUUAAUUCAUUCAAAUCCACCAAUUAUAUUCAAUAAUUUCUUGUAAUUCAGUGUAUAGAUAUUAUAUUUAUACCUUUAGAUCAUGAUGAUCCUAAGAGACAAAUUAGUUAAGUUCAACCAUCUCGUACCUAUGUGAAAAGAAUGUAAUUGCAAAACUAAAAUGUAAUUAAUUACAGAAUUCGUGUCUGAAAUAUGAAAGAAGGAAAUCAAUUAGAAAGCUGCACAUGCAUUUGGUUGCCACGCGGACGCAGAAAAUGAUUUUGCCAAAUAUAUUUAAAAUAAAAAUAAAUAAAUGUGAUCAAUAGGGUAUGGUGAUGAAAUUAAUUAGGUGCAUCAGAAAGUAGAGGAAUUGCAUGUGGAGCUUUAAUAUCCUAUACUGGUGGGUACAGAGAAUGCAUGUGGGAUACCUCAUAAGCAAAGCAUCAUCAGCCACAAAUAAGAGCAGACAGACACCUGGUCCUCACCAAUACAAUCAUCACAUCACAUAACCCAUCCCUUCCAAAAUUUUUAAAGCCAAAUAUUUAAUUUGAGCUGAUAUUUACAUGAAAAAUCGAUUGACAUUUUUUUUGGGUUAAAUUUUAAUAGUUGAUUUUUAUAAAAGUGUGUUUAUUUAUCAUUUAAAUUUUAUAAAAUAUAAUUAUCUAAUUUUAGGUAAUUAGAUAACAUUAGAAAUAAAAAUUUAAUUAAAUAAACAAAAAUGUAACUAUUUUAUUUCAUAAAUUAUUUAGAUUAUAAUAGUUAGUAUAGAAUAUAUAUAAUGCUACAAAAAAAAUGUUUAUUUUUAAUACACAAGCCUUCUCAAAUACAUAUAUAAACUAAAAGAAUCUUGUCUUGCACUCCAAGGGUGAGUGCUUUCUCUGUAUACAUAUUUAUAUGUAUAAGAAAUUAAAAUUCUUAUUCUUUUAAUUUGUUUUAUUUUAUUUUAUUAUUUUGAUUGCAGUGGAGAAUCUGCAGAGUGCAUAUUAUUGAAAUGAGAAAUUAUUAUGUAUAUUUAAAGUAUUCUUUUAUUAUAUUGAGGUGAGACGUUAAAUUAAUCGUAUCGUAAUAAAUUAUUAUGAAUAAAAAAUUAUUAAAUUUUAUUUUUUACAUUUUCAUUAAAAAAAUUAGUAAUUAUAUGAGUUUAGUGGUUUUUUUUUUCUGUUUUUUUAGUAUAAUUGAUGCGGUGAGUAUCACCAAUUUUUUGAAAUUGUAAUCCUGUGGCCUUUAAUCAAAUCUAUUUUCCAAGCAGAAUAAACUUCAAUUAUGCCGACUCAAUUUUUCACAAUUUUCUAAUAUCUCCACUAACCCAUAAUUUUUAUUAGAGAAAAUAGAAAUAUGGGGUUAAAUAAGCUCUAGUCACUUCUAUAUAAGGACAACGAGACUGAGCUUUAGUCAGCACUAGAGUCUGUGAAAUCUAAUUCCAAUCAUUAUCAGAAACCCUUUCCUUUUCUGGAAAACAUAAUGGCCCUCUUGAAGAAAUUGGAAGCAAGUUUUGAGGUGAAUGUUCCUGCAAACCAGUUUCAUAAUGUCUACAGUUGCAGACCACACCAUGUAUCCAUUAUGAGCCCUGAAAGAAUUCAAGGUGUUGAACUCCAUGAAGGCGAAUGGGGGAAAGAAGGCUCUGUUAUCUGCUGGAAUUAUACUCAUGGUAAGUCUAUUUGCCCAUUAUUUUCUUUCUUUCUCAUUGAAAUUUCUUAUAGGUUUCUUUUUACUUAUUUAUUAAUAAUGCAACAAAAAAAACAGAUGGAUCUCUCAAGAUAGCCAAGGAGAUAAUUGAAGUCAUAGAUGAUGUGAACUUAUCAACCACCUUCAAAGUGAUAGGAGGAGAUCUUCUGAAGGAUUACAAGAGCUUCAAAUUCAUAGUUCAAGCUACACAGAAGGGGGAUGGAAGCUUGGUGCACUGG